GGCGGAGUAGCUCAGUUGGUUAGAGCAGCGGAAUCAUAAUCCGCGUGUCCGGGGUUCGAAUCCCUGCUCCGCUACUA
This 77-nucleotide transfer RNA is filed under the name Fidelibacterota bacterium CG08_land_8_20_14_0_20_45_22. RNAcentral describes it as "Candidatus Marinimicrobia bacterium CG08_land_8_20_14_0_20_45_22 tRNA-Met". It matches the Rfam family "tRNA". From Rfam's summary of the family: Transfer RNA (tRNA) molecules are approximately 80 nucleotides in length. Their secondary structure includes four short double-helical elements and three loops (D, anti-codon, and T loops). Lineage: Bacteria; Pseudomonadati; Fidelibacterota. The record is from RNAcentral.